UUCAACUAAAUAUUGAUUUUCGAUUCAAAAACGAUUCUCGAUUCAAAAAGCGAUUCACAGUAUGUAGAUGUACUUACUUUUCCCAUCUAAAAAAUAUGUAUUGAUUU
Molecule: long non-coding RNA, 107 nt
Organism: Etheostoma spectabile (orangethroat darter)
Lineage: Eukaryota; Metazoa; Chordata; Actinopteri; Perciformes; Percidae
Exons: 3
Source: RefSeq, a predicted model, not a curated record